AUGCAGUCGAGCGGAUCGAUGGGAGCUUGCUCCCUGAGAUCAGCGGCGGACGGGUGAGUAACACGUGGGUAACCUGCCUGUAAGACUGGGAUAACUCCGGGAAACCGGGGCUAAUACCGGAUAACACCUACCCCCGCAUGGGGGAAGGUUGAAAGGUGGCUUCGGCUAUCACUUACAGAUGGACCCGCGGCGCAUUAGCUAGUUGGUGAGGUAAUGGCUCACCAAGGCGACGAUGCGUAGCCACCUGAGAGGGUGAUCGGCCACACUGGGACUGAGACACGGCCCAGACUCCUACGGGAGGCAGCAGUAGGGAAUCUUCCGCAAUGGACGAAAGUCUGACGGAGCAACGCCGCGUGAGUGAAGAAGGUUUUCGGAUCGUAAAACUCUGUUGUUAGGGAAGAACAAGUGCCGUUCGAAUAGGGCGGCGCCUUGACGGUACCUAACCAGAAAGCCACGGCUAACUACGUGCCAGCAGCCGCGGUAAUACGUAGGUGGCAAGCGUUGUCCGGAAUUAUUGGGCGUAAAGCGCGCGCAGGUGGUUUCUUAAGUCUGAUGUGAAAGCCCACGGCUCAACCGUGGAGGGUCAUUGGAAACUGGGGAACUUGAGUGCAGAAGAGGAAAGUGGAAUUCCAAGUGUAGCGGUGAAAUA
RNAcentral lists this ribosomal RNA (649 nucleotides) under Rossellomorea marisflavi. RNAcentral describes it as "bacterial SSU rRNA". It matches the Rfam family "Bacterial small subunit ribosomal RNA", at positions 55 to 688 of the family's 1533-position model. The record is from RNAcentral. Lineage: Bacteria; Bacillati; Bacillota; Bacilli; Caryophanales; Bacillaceae.